RNAcentral lists this unclassified non-coding RNA (377 nucleotides) under uncultured Actinomycetes bacterium. RNAcentral describes it as "uncultured actinobacterium contains 16S-23S intergenic spacer region". Lineage: Bacteria; Bacillati; Actinomycetota; Actinomycetes. The record is from RNAcentral.
CCCGUGUUAGCCACGGCAGUCUUCUGUGAGUCCCCGACAUUACUCGCUGGCAACACAGAACGAGGGUUGCGCUCGUUGCGGGACUUAACCCAACAUCUCACGACACGAGCUGACGACAACCAUGCACCACCUGUACACCGGCCCGAGGGGGGCCUCAUCUCUGAGGCUUUCCGGUGUAUGUCAAGCCUUGGUAAGGUUCUUCGCGUUGCGUCGAAUUAAGCCACAUGCUCCGCCGCUUGUGCGGGCCCCCGUCAAUUCCUUUGAGUUUUAGCCUUGCGGCCGUACUCCCCAGGCGGGGUGCUUAAUGCGUUAGCUGCGACACGGAGAGCGUGGAAUACUCCCCACAUCUAGCACCCACCGUUUACAGCGUGGACUAC